AUGUGUCAAAGGAGCUUGCUAGGACAAUCAUUGCUUGCAACAUUCCUCCAUCACUUGGUUAAUUCCCUGCAUAUGCACUUGCCUAGCCCCUGGCCUGAACCUGUUCUCUUUUGUGCUUCAGAGAAGCAUCCCAUGUUAGUGCUUGCUGCUGCUCCUGCUAUAUGUUGGCAUUUCCGGUAUUACCCUUUGGGGUGCCAUUUACUUGCCUUUGCGAUUAGUUAG
This 222-nucleotide ribosomal RNA is filed under the name Triticum aestivum (bread wheat). Its description in RNAcentral is "partial small subunit ribosomal RNA". The record is from RNAcentral. Lineage: Eukaryota; Viridiplantae; Streptophyta; Magnoliopsida; Poales; Poaceae.